RNAcentral lists this long non-coding RNA (462 nucleotides) under Fukomys damarensis (Damara mole-rat). RNAcentral's name for it is "lncRNA (ENSFDAG00000028483.1)". Lineage: Eukaryota; Metazoa; Chordata; Mammalia; Rodentia; Bathyergidae. The record is from RNAcentral.
GUCCCAGCAGCAGAAAAAUGACCGAUACAGUAUUUGCUGCGACGCCUCGCCUGGCAAGGGUGUGUUUUCCAGCCUUCCUAAGAGGCACGGACCCAAGCGGCAGCGCCGGGAAGGGGAAUGGACCUUCUGUGGAUUUGUUCCAGCUCGCUGUUGAAAGCCAGCCCUGCCUUACGUGGCUCUGAAGAUAAAAUCUGCUUGGGGUGCUUUUAAGGCAGGAACUUUAGAAACUAAAGGCAGUGGUGUCUUCUCUUUUGUAUCCAAAGGGUUUAUCAGGUAAGUAACGGGGUCACAGCUACACUGCUAAGCAUGUAUCGUGUAGAAGAUCCUCGAUACGUGGCAGUGACUGCAGUACCACCAGCACAGUCUUGGUCCCUUCCUUAAUUCCAACACCUUUGCGUGGUGCUCAGGAUUGAAGGCAGGGCAUGCUGAGUUCAUACUCUACCUGUGAGCUCUGCCCUUAAU